AAACCAACAGGGAUUGCCUCAGUAGCGGCGAGUGAAGCGGCAAGAGCUCAGAUUUGAAAUCGUGCUUUGCGGCACGAGUUGUAGAUUGCAGGUUGGAGUCUGUGUGGAAGGCGGUGUCCAAGUCCCUUGGAACAGGGCGCCCAGGAGGGUGAGAGCCCCGUGGGAUGCCGGCGGAAGCAGUGAGGCCCUUCUGACGAGUCGAGUUGUUUGGGAAUGCAGCUCCAAGCGGGUGGUAAAUUCCAUCCAAGGCUAAAUACUGGCGAGAGACCGAUAGCGAACAAGUACUGUGAAGGAAAGAUGAAAAGCACUUUGAAAAGAGAGUGAAACAGCACGUGAAAUUGUUGAAAGGGAAGGGUAUUGCGCCCGACAUGGGGAUUGCGCACCGCUGCCUCUCGUGGGCGGCGCUCUGGGCUUUCCCUGGGCCAGCAUCGGUUCUUGCUGCAGGAGAAGGGGUUCUGGAACGUGGCUCUUCGGAGUGUUAUAGCCAGGGCCAGAUGCUGCGUGCGGGGACCGAGGACUGCGGCCGUGUAGGUCACGGAUGCUGGCAGAACGGCGCAACACCGC
Molecule: ribosomal RNA, 564 nt
Filed under: Pichia kudriavzevii
Lineage: Eukaryota; Fungi; Ascomycota; Pichiomycetes; Pichiales; Pichiaceae
Description: LSU rRNA
Rfam family: Eukaryotic large subunit ribosomal RNA
Source: RNAcentral